UCAUGUGUACAUUCCUAUAAUGUUCAUACAUUGGGUCCCAUUACAACUCUGUUGUUUAGAAUCCUUGGGCUAGACUAGUACUUGUAUGGGUGACCUCCCGAGAAUUCCUAGUGUUUUACAUGCC
Molecule: non-coding RNA, 124 nt
Organism: Picea glauca (white spruce)
Lineage: Eukaryota; Viridiplantae; Streptophyta; Pinopsida; Pinales; Pinaceae
Source: Rfam